GUUAUAGGGUCAAGCGAACAAGUGCAUGUGGUGGAUGCCUUGGCGAUCACAGGCGAUGAAGGACGCGGUAGCCUGCGAAAAGCUACGGGGAGCUGGCAAACGAGCUUUGAUCCGUAGAUGUCCGAAUGGGGAAACC
Molecule: ribosomal RNA, 136 nt
Filed under: Burkholderia pyrrocinia
Lineage: Bacteria; Pseudomonadati; Pseudomonadota; Betaproteobacteria; Burkholderiales; Burkholderiaceae
Description: partial 23S ribosomal RNA
Rfam family: Bacterial large subunit ribosomal RNA
Source: RNAcentral